Molecule: ribosomal RNA, 492 nt
Filed under: uncultured bacterium
Lineage: Bacteria
Description: partial 16S ribosomal RNA
Rfam family: Bacterial small subunit ribosomal RNA
Source: RNAcentral
AGUGAACGCUGGCGGUAGGCCUAACACAUGCAAGUCGAACGGCAGCACAGUAAGAGCUUGCUCUUACGGGUGGCGAGUGGCGGACGGGUGGGGAAUACAUCGGAAUCUACUUUUUCGUGGGGGAUAACGGAGGGAAACUUACGCUAAUACCGCAUACGACCUACGGGUGAAAGCAGGGGAUCUUCGGACCUUGCGCGAUUGAAUGAGCCGAUGUCGGAUUAGCUAGUUGGCGGGGUAAAGGCCCACCAAGGCGACGAUCCGUAGCUGGUCUGAGAGGAUGAUCAGCCACACUGGAACUGAGACACGGUCCAGACUCCUACGGGAGGCAGCAGUGGGGAAUAUUGGACAAAGGGCGCAAGCCUGAUCCAGCCAUACCGCGUGGGUGAAGAAGGCCUUCGGGUUGUAAAGCCCUUUUGUUGGGAAAGAAAAGCAGCAGGUUAAUACGCCGCUGUUCUGACGGUACCCAAAGAAUAAGCACCGGCUAACUUCGUG